UAGGGAAUCUUCCGCAAUGGACGCAAGUCUGACGGAGCAACGCCGCGUGAGUGAAGAAGGAUUUCGGUUCGUAAAACUCUGUUGUUAGAGAAGAACAGCGCAUAGAGUAACUGUUAUGCGUGUGACGGUAUCUAACCAGAAAGCCACGGCUAACUACGUGCCAGCAGCCGCGGUAAUACGAAGGUGGCAAGCGUUGUCCGGAUCUAUUGGGCGUAAAGCGAGCGCAGGCGGUUAGAUAAGUCUGAAGUUAAAGGCAGUGGCUCAACCAUUGUAGGCUUUGGAAACUGUUUAACUUGAGUGCAGAAGGGGAGAGUGGAAUUCCAUGUGUAGCGGUGAAAUGCGUAGAUAUAUGGAGGAACACCGGUGGCGAAAGCGGCUCUCUGGUCUGUAACUGACGCUGAGGCUCGAAAGCGUGGGGAGCGAACAGG
RNAcentral lists this ribosomal RNA (428 nucleotides) under Bacteroidota bacterium. Its description in RNAcentral is "Bacteroidetes bacterium partial 16S ribosomal RNA". It matches the Rfam family "Bacterial small subunit ribosomal RNA", at positions 355 to 776 of the family's 1533-position model. The record is from RNAcentral. Lineage: Bacteria; Pseudomonadati; Bacteroidota.